GAUGAAGAACGCAGCGAAGUGCGAUACGUAAUGUGAAUUGCAGAAUUCAGUGAAUCAUCGAGUCUUUGAACGCACAUUGCGCCCCCUGGUAUUCCGGGGGGCAUGCCUGUCCGAGCGUCAUUGCUGCCCUCAAGCACGGCUUGUGUGUUGGGCCUCCGUCCUCCUCCCGGGGGACGGGCCCGAAAGGCAGCGGCGGCACCGCGUCCGGUCCUCGAGCGUAUGGGGCUUCGUCACCCGCUCUUGUAGGCCCGGCCGGCGCUUGCCGACACAUCAAUCUUUUUUCCAGGUUGACCUCGGAUCAGGUAGGGAUACCCGCUGAACUUAAGCAUAUCAAAAAGCGGAGGA
This 345-nucleotide unclassified non-coding RNA is filed under the name soil metagenome. RNAcentral's name for it is "partial contains 5.8S ribosomal RNA, internal transcribed spacer 2, and large subunit ribosomal RNA". The stretch from base 1 to 120 matches the Rfam family "5.8S ribosomal RNA", at positions 35 to 154 of the family's 154-position model. The record is from RNAcentral.